AAACUGAUCUCGGUGGAAAUCAUAUUAUUUUCUCCACCACAGAUUCUCACCAUCCAUUCAUAUCUAGAUAUAAUCCCAUGUUUUUAUCUGAUUUGCCAAAAAUUCAAGAGGAGCCAACCAGGAACAGUUAUUGAGAAUAGGCUUAAUCAUGACCUUUGACCUCAGCUUAACACUGGAUCAUAGCUGUCUCAUCUACAACAUGAUGCAUAUGUUGGAAUCAGUCAGAGCAUUUCCAUAGAGAGCCACUUUGCAUCAGCAGCACCAUGCUCCAGUGCUCUGGGAGAGUUUAUAGUCCUGAGAGUUGAAGACUGGAUGACUGACAGCUGUCCUUCAUGACAACAGAAGCCACAGAAAUCCUCCUCAUCAAAAACAUGACUUUGAUCUCCGUCCUCAUCUGGACUCUCCUCUGCUGCUGCUUCACAGAGUCCAGAGGCCAGGUCACAGUGACUCAGCCUGGAGCAGUGAGAUCUGCUGUGGGAGGCUCCAUCACCAUCACAUGUAGAACCAGUCAGAAUGUUAAUUUUUGGAACAACAACCACCUUUUAGCCUGGUACCAACAGAAAGAUGGAGAAAGUCCUAAACUGCUUGUUUACUUUGCUAACCGUCGAGAAUCAGGGAUUCCAGAUCGUUUUACAGGCAGUGGAUCAAACUCUGACUUCACUCUGACCAUCAGUGGAGUCCAGGCUGAAGAUGCAGCAGUUUACUACUGUCAGAGUUUUCACUAUAUCAACAGUCAGAGGGUGUUCACACAGUGAAAAAGCGUCGUACAAAAACCUCCCUCAGUCAGACUGAACAGAAACUGAACUGACUGCUGCAGCUGGAAGCUACUGC
Molecule: non-coding RNA, 831 nt
Organism: Lates calcarifer (barramundi perch)
Lineage: Eukaryota; Metazoa; Chordata; Actinopteri; Centropomidae
Source: the annotation of a RefSeq genome assembly